RNAcentral lists this ribosomal RNA (253 nucleotides) under uncultured bacterium. Its description in RNAcentral is "partial 16S ribosomal RNA". It matches the Rfam family "Bacterial small subunit ribosomal RNA", at positions 524 to 776 of the family's 1533-position model. The record is from RNAcentral.
UACGAAGGGGGCUAGCGUUGCUCGGAAUCACUGGGCGUAAAGCGCACGUAGGCGGAUUGCUAAGUCAGGGGUGAAAUCCUGGAGCUCAACUCCAGAACUGCCUUUGAUACUGGCGAUCUUGAGUCCGGGAAAGGUGAGUGGAACUGCGAGUGUAGAGGUGAAAUUCGUAGAUAUUCGCAAGAACACCAGUGGCGAAGGCGGCUCACUGGCCCGGUACUGACGCUGAGGUGCGAAAGCGUGGGGAGCAAACAGG